This 253-nucleotide ribosomal RNA is filed under the name uncultured bacterium. RNAcentral's name for it is "partial 16S ribosomal RNA". It matches the Rfam family "Bacterial small subunit ribosomal RNA", at positions 524 to 776 of the family's 1533-position model. The record is from RNAcentral.
UACGAGGGGGGCGAGCGUUGUUCGGAAUUAUUGGGCGUAAAGGGUGCGUAGGCGGUUUGGUAAGUCUGAUGUGAAAUCUAUGGGCUCAACUCAUAGUCUGCAUCGGAAACUGCCGGGCUUGAGUGUGGGAGAGGUGAGUGGAACUCCUGGUGUAGCGGUGAAAUGCGUAGAUAUCAGGAGGAACACCUGUGGCGAAAGCGGCUCACUGGACCAUAACUGACGCUGAUGCACGAAAGCUAGGGGAGCAAACAGG